Molecule: non-coding RNA, 115 nt
Filed under: Deltaproteobacteria bacterium
Lineage: Bacteria; Pseudomonadati; Myxococcota; Myxococcia
Description: SAM-I sequence
Rfam family: SAM riboswitch aptamer (S box leader)
About the family: The SAM riboswitch is found upstream of a number of genes which code for proteins involved in methionine or cysteine biosynthesis in Gram-positive bacteria. The SAM riboswitch acts at the level of transcription termination control. The predicted structure consists of a complex stem-loop region followed by a single stem loop terminator region.
Source: RNAcentral
AUCUUAUCGAGAGUGGCGGAGCGACUGGCCCGAAGAAGCCACAGCAACCGGUCUCGCCCGAGGCGGGAUGCUGGUGCUAACUCCAGCGAGGUAGGAAUACCUUGGAAGAUAAGGU